GAUGAACGCUGGCGGCGUGCCUAAUACAUGCAAGUCGAGCGAACAGACGAGGAGCUUGCUCCUCUGACGUUAGCGGCGGACGGGUGAGUAACACGUGGAUAACCUACCUAUAAGACUGGGAUAACUUCGGGAAACCGGAGCUAAUACCGGAUAAUAUAUUGAACCGCAUGGUUCAAUAGUGAAAGACGGUUUUGCUGUCACUUAUAGAUGGAUCCGCGCCGCAUUAGCUAGUUGGUAAGGUAACGGCUUACCAAGGCAACGAUGCGUAGCCGACCUGAGAGGGUGAUCGGACACACGGGAACUGAGACACGGUCCAGACUCCUACGGGAGGCAGCAGUAGGGAAUCUUCCGCAAGGGGCGAAAGCCUGACGGAGCAACGCCGCGUGAGUGAUGAAGGUCUUCGGAUCGUAAAACUCUGUUAUUAGGGAAGAACAAAUGUGUAAGUAACUAUGCACGUCUUGACGGUACCUAAUCAGAAAGCCACGGCUAACUACGUG
This 497-nucleotide ribosomal RNA is filed under the name uncultured bacterium. RNAcentral describes it as "partial 16S ribosomal RNA". It matches the Rfam family "Bacterial small subunit ribosomal RNA", at positions 28 to 507 of the family's 1533-position model. The record is from RNAcentral.